Molecule: ribosomal RNA, 450 nt
Filed under: uncultured bacterium
Lineage: Bacteria
Description: partial 16S ribosomal RNA
Rfam family: Bacterial small subunit ribosomal RNA
Source: RNAcentral
GUGGGGAAUUUUGGACAAUGGGGGAAACCCUGAUCCAGCCAUGCCGCGUGCAGGAUGAAGGCCUUCGGGUUGUAAACUGCUUUUGUACGGAACGAAAAGGUCCUUUCUAAUAAAGAGGGCUCAUGACGGUACCGUAAGAAUAAGCACCGGCUAACUACGUGCCAGCAGCCGCGGUAAUACGUAGGGUGCGAGCGUUAAUCGGAAUUACUGGGCGUAAAGCGUGCGCAGGCGGUUAUAUAAGACAGAUGUGAAAUCCCCGGGCUCAACCUGGGAACUGCAGUAGUGACUGUAUAGCUGGAGUGCGGCAGAGGGGGAUGGAAUUCCGCGUGUAGCAGUGAAAUGCGUAGAUAUGCGGAGGAACACCGAUGGCGAAGGCAAUCCCCUGGGCCUGCACUGACGCUCAUGCACGAAAGCGUGGGGAGCAAACAGGAUUAGAAACCCGGGUAGUCC